This 229-nucleotide long non-coding RNA is filed under the name Trifolium pratense (red clover). Its description in RNAcentral is "long non-coding RNA (TPRA_LNC012778)". Lineage: Eukaryota; Viridiplantae; Streptophyta; Magnoliopsida; Fabales; Fabaceae. The record is from RNAcentral.
AAUCCGCAUGUUUCUUUGGAGUGUUUUAUUUUUCUGUAGAUUUCAGAAGCACACGUUUGAUUUUUAAGGUUUUGUUUUGUACUAGAAGCGAUUUUCACAUGGACAUGUUUUUUUGUACGUGCGGUUUUACAUGUUAUGUUUGGAUGAGGUUUGCCAAAUUUACAUUGUUUUGACUUUUGAGUUGAGUGUUCAUCUUGUGUUGUGAGUCUUUUCCUCACUAAAUUGCUUG